CAGCCGUAAACUAUGCUCGCUAGGUGUCAGGCAUGGCGCGACCGUGUCUGGUGCCGCAGGGAAGCCGUGAAGCGAGCCACCUGGGAAGUACGGCCGCAAGGCUGAAACUUAAAGGAAUUGGCGGGGGAGCACAACAACGGGUGGAGCCUGCGGUUUAAAUUGGACUCAACGCCGGACAACUCACCGGGGACGACAGCAAUAUGUAGGCCAGGCUGAAGACCUUGCCUGAAUCGCUGAGAGGAGGUGCAUGGCGUAGACGUCU
Molecule: ribosomal RNA, 262 nt
Filed under: uncultured archaeon
Lineage: Archaea
Description: partial 16S ribosomal RNA
Rfam family: Archaeal small subunit ribosomal RNA
Source: RNAcentral